ACGAACGCUGGCGGCGUGCUUAACACAUGCAAGUCGAACGAAAAGAGGGGGAAGAGCUUGCUCUUUUCAGAAUUGAGUGGCAAACGGGUGAGUAACACGUAAACAACCUGCCUUCAGGAUGGGGACAACAGACGGAAACGACUGCUAAUACCGAAUAAGUUCCAAGAGCCGCAUGGCCCAUGGAAGAAAAGGUGGCCUCUACCUGUAAGCUAUCGCCUGAAGAGGGGUUUGCGUCUGAUUAGCUGGUUGGAGGGGUAACGGCCCACCAAGGCGACGAUCAGUAGCCGGUCUGAGAGGAUGAACGGCCACACUGGAACUGAGACACGGUCCAGACUCCUACGGGAGGCAGCAGUGGGGAAUCUUCCGCAAUGGGCGAAAGCCUGACGGAGCAACGCCGCGUGAGUGAUGACGGCCUUCGGGUUGUAAAACUCUGUGAUCCGGGACGAAAAGGCAGAGUGCGAAGAACAAACUGCAUUGACGGUACCGGAAAAGCAAGCCACGGCUAACUACGUG
Molecule: ribosomal RNA, 513 nt
Filed under: uncultured bacterium
Lineage: Bacteria
Description: bacterial SSU rRNA
Rfam family: Bacterial small subunit ribosomal RNA
Source: RNAcentral